RNAcentral lists this long non-coding RNA (518 nucleotides) under Dromaius novaehollandiae (emu). Its description in RNAcentral is "lncRNA (ENSDNVG00000012933.1)". The record is from RNAcentral. Lineage: Eukaryota; Metazoa; Chordata; Aves; Casuariiformes; Dromaiidae.
CCAAUGUAAACUUUUAGUCUGUGAAGAUUUCUGGGCACUGAACAGAACAACUCUGCUAGAGGCCAUGCGUUUCCCAGAGCACAGCUUUGAGCACCAGACAGCUACUUAGACAUGGGUCUACACAGAUCUGGAAAGUCGAUGCCUUUUGCACCACCUCUUUUAAUGCAUGUUACUUUACUAGUGAGACAGCACUUCAAUCCCUUCAUGCCCUCUGAACACCACUUCGGGGAUCAUUUGGAAGAUGGAAAGUAGCUCUACACCACAUGCAAGACGGAUACUUCUCCACUCUGAGCAGCACUGCACUGCGAAUAUUAUCAACUUCAAAAAAACUCGUGCAAAAUCCACUGCGUAAACUUCAGACACAUUUGAUUUCAUUUUGGUCUCAGGGCUCCCCUCCUUCCACAUGCAAUCAGCUGAUUAAAAAUUGACAUUUUCAGUACUUUAGUUUCACAAUGGACUUAGGCCCCAAUCAUCUAUAUGCGACUCUGCAAGGACUUCUGAGGUACAGUACGUUAAAU